GGCUCAGAUUGAACGCUGGCGGCAUGCCUUACACAUGCAAGUCGAACGGCAGCACGGAGCUUGCUCUGGUGGCGAGUGGCGAACGGGUGAGUAAUAUAUCGGAACGUACCCUAGAGUGGGGGAUAACGUAGCGAAAGUUACGCUAGUACCGCAUACGAUCUAAGGAUGAAAGUGGGGGAUCGCAAGACCUCAUGCUCGUGGAGCGGCCGAUAUCUGAUUAGCUAGUUGGUAGGGUAAAAGCCUACCAAGGCAUCGAUCAGUAGCUGGUCUGAGAGGACGACCAGCCACACUGGAACUGAGACACGGUCCAGACUCCUACGGGAGGCAGCAGUGGGGAAUUUUGGACAAUGGGCGAAAGCCUGAUCCAGCAAUGCCGCGUGAGUGAAGAAGGCCUUCGGGUUGUAAAGCUCUUUUGUCAGGGAAGAAACGGUGAAAGCUAAUAUCUUUUGCUAAUGACGGUACCUGAAGAAUAAGCACCGGCUAACUACGUGCCAGCAGCCGCGGUAAUACUGUAGGGUGCAAGCGUUAAUCGGAAUUACUGGGCGUAAAGCGUGCGCA
This 558-nucleotide ribosomal RNA is filed under the name uncultured bacterium. Its description in RNAcentral is "bacterial SSU rRNA". It matches the Rfam family "Bacterial small subunit ribosomal RNA", at positions 21 to 573 of the family's 1533-position model. The record is from RNAcentral.